The sequence is a ribosomal RNA, 881 nucleotides long. The stretch from base 300 to 454 matches the Rfam family "5.8S ribosomal RNA".
UCUUGGUCAUUUAGAGGAAGUAAAAGUCGUAACAAGGUUUCCGUAGGUGAACUGCGGAAGGAUCAUUAUCGAAUCUAAAUCUGAAGAGGUAGAGAGACUGUAGCUGGCUGGAUCUAGUCUUUCUAGUCUGGCAUGUGCACGUCCCCUCACCUUUUCUAUCUACACACACCUGUGCACCUAUUGUAGAUCCCCUCUUGAAAGAGAAGGGAACUAUGUUUUCAUCACAUCACACACAUUGUAUGUCCAGAAUGUAAAUUUGUCAAUCAUUGAUUUGAUUGAUGAUAAAACAUAUAUAAUACAACUUUCAGCAACGGAUCUCUUGGCUCUCGCAUCGAUGAAGAACGCAGCGAAUUGCGAUAAGUAAUGUGAAUUGCAGAUUUCCAGUGAAUCAUCGAAUCUUUGAACGCACCUUGCGCUCCUUGGUAUUCCGAGGAGCAUGCCUGUUUGAGUGUCAUCGAAUUCUCAACCAAUCUCUCUUGAUUAAUCUUUAAUCUUCAAGGGGAGCUAUGGCUUGGAGUUGGGAGUUGCUGGCAUGACUGUCAGCUCUCCUUAAAUGUAUUAGCAAUCGAGUUGGCUAGUCUUUGACGUGCACGGCCUCAGACGUGAUAAUGAUCGUCGUAGCUGGAGCGUCUUUUCUAGACUAUGCACAUAGAUCGCUUCUAAUCAGAAUGGGAAGCAAAGAGUAGAGCAAAUAGUCCACAUUGAUCAUGAUCUAUAAUCUAUCAAGCUUAGCUACUAGGCAGUCUCCUGAGGCUGGCGAACACAAGCAAGAAGGAUUAGGAUUAGGAUUAGGAUGAAAUGCUUGAUCCUUUUUUCUCUACUUUCAGAGACUUGACCUCAAAUCAGGUAGGACUACCCGCUGAACUUAAGCAUAUCAAUAA